Molecule: long non-coding RNA, 308 nt
Filed under: Elaeis guineensis (African oil palm)
Lineage: Eukaryota; Viridiplantae; Streptophyta; Magnoliopsida; Arecales; Arecaceae
Description: long non-coding RNA (EGUI_LNC064278)
Source: RNAcentral
GGCCAGCCUCAUCUCUCUAUCUAUCCCACUAUGAGUUUCUUCGAACCCAUCUAUCCUUCAACAUACGGUAGCCCAUACGACAUUGCGAUCGCUAGAUGCAAGUGUUAGAGGGCAUCAAAACUCAACCAAUCUCCCCCUCAAGAGGUAAUCUAAGCUCUCUGAAGAUAAAGGUGAGGGCCAUGUCAUAGGGUAGGUAGGCCUUUGCCCUCCCUACUACCUCUCUCAUGCAUGUAAAUAUCAACACUGGUAGGUUAAGUGGAAUGCUUUGGAGUAUGUGCACUAUAAUAAUCAAAUCCCUCUCAGAUAUG